UUUAACUGUCCUAUGACGCUUCCCUCAUC
This 29-nucleotide non-coding RNA is filed under the name Mus musculus (house mouse). Lineage: Eukaryota; Metazoa; Chordata; Mammalia; Rodentia; Muridae. The record is from RNAcentral.